Small nucleolar RNA from Medicago truncatula (barrel medic), 129 nucleotides. It matches the Rfam family "small nucleolar RNA snoR134". NCBI's taxonomy places the organism in Eukaryota, Viridiplantae, Streptophyta, Magnoliopsida, Fabales, Fabaceae. The record is from Rfam.
AUGUACCCUAAUUAGCAUAGGAUAUUUCAAUUUUUCUUUCUCAAUUUACGUGCAAAAUCGAUGCCAUUCGUGUUGCAGUUCAUCUCGAUAAUUCCAUGAUUCAUCUGUGUCAAAGUAAUGGCUACAUCG